UCAGGCCUAACACAUGCAAGUCGAGCGGGGUCUUCGGACCUAGCGGCGGACGGGUGAGUAAUGCGUAGGAAGCUACCCGAUAGAGGGGGAUACCAGUUGGAAACGACUGUUAAUACCGCAUAAUGUCUACGGACCAAAGUGUGGGACCUUCGGGCCACAUGCUAUCGGAUGCGCCUACGUGGGAUUAGCUAGUUGGUGAGGUAAUGGCUCACCAAGGCGACGAUCCCUAGCUGGUUUGAGAGGAUGAUCAGCCACACUGGAACUGAGACACGGUCCAGACUCCUACGGGAGGCAGCAGUGGGGAAUAUUGGGCAAUGGGCGCAAGCCUGAUCCAAAAAGGCCGCGUGUGUGAAGAAGGCCUUCGGGUGUAAAUCAAGAGCAGUAGGGAGGAAGCGUUGAGUGUUAAUA
This 408-nucleotide ribosomal RNA is filed under the name uncultured bacterium. RNAcentral's name for it is "bacterial SSU rRNA". It matches the Rfam family "Bacterial small subunit ribosomal RNA", at positions 43 to 465 of the family's 1533-position model. The record is from RNAcentral.